This is an RNA transcript of Mauremys reevesii (Reeves's turtle), 1752 nucleotides long. It is a transcript of the gene named serine and arginine rich splicing factor 9, with no coding region annotated. Lineage: Eukaryota; Metazoa; Chordata; Testudines; Geoemydidae. The transcript has 4 exons. The record is from RefSeq and is a predicted model, not a curated record.
CUCAGGGCGAGUGGCUCUGUCCGCCUGAACUGGAAGCUUGCGCAAUCGCAGUAAGAUAGGCGAACUGCGAGCAUGCGCAGUGCUGGGGCGCAGAGCACAACGCAUGCGUAACGAAAGCUGUGUGCGGUUGCUGGCGCCUCCUCCCCUUUAAGCGGGUUGUUUAGUGUCCUCCGCCAGGAGGUAGGGACGGCUCGGCUCGGCUCGGCUCGCUGGUUCCUAGCCGCUGUGUGCACGGGCGGCGCGGCGAGGAUGUCUGGCUGGGACCGGGAGAUGGGCUUCGGGCCCGGGGGCUCGGGGCGGGGCGGCGCGGGGGACGGGCGGAUCUACGUGGGGAACCUGCCGGCGGACGUGCGGGAGAAGGACCUGGAGGAGCUUUUCUACAAGUACGGCCGCAUCCGCGACAUCGAGCUCAAGAGCAAGCGCGGCCUGGUGCCCUUCGCCUUCGUGCGCUUCGAGGACCCGCGAGAUGCAGAAGAUGCAGUUUAUGGGAGAAAUGGUUAUGAUUAUGGUCAAUGCCGACUGCGUGUUGAGUUCCCCAGAUCCUCCCGAGGUCGGGGUGGAGGUUUUGGUGGGGGGCUGCGUGGGAGGAAUGGCCCUCCGUCACGACGUUCUGAAUUUCGAGUCCUUGUUUCAGUGAAACCAGAUUAGAAACUCCUAAAAAGAACACUGCCGAAUGGAUACAACAAUGUAGCACAAGUGCCCAGCUGUUUGUAUGAACCAGCAUCCCCACUAUCUUUCCCCUCCUCAUUUGGUGUCUAGCAGAGACCUCUACAUACCCCUGGUUGAGAACCACUGGCCUAGAGGAGCCAAAGAAUGCACUACCACAGCCAUUGAUCUUCUCUCCAUAGAUCUAGCAAUGUGGGGCAGAUCCUUAACUUGGGUAAACUGUCAUUGUUCUGUUGCCCUCAGUGGAGCCUGACAAUUUAUAGCAGCUGAGAUCUGCCUCUGUAAGUUUGAGUGACCUAUGAACUUUAAUGCUAUCACAAGAACACUUGAUUUAAACAAAUGCUGCCCCAGAACACCAUAGGGUUAGUUUAAUUAUUUCAGUUUAAUUUGAAAAUUAAUGACAACUUAUUUUGUGUAGCUCUGUCUUCCAAGUUCUAGUCUGAACUAACAUGGCAACACUGUUGGGUAUAGGGUUUAGAAAACUGUCCUGAGUUUUGAUUUGGAGGGAUGUAAUUAAUUUUACCAUUAUUUCCUCUCAAAUUUGCAGUUACUAGCUAACAGAGGAAAGUUAUAUUGACCAGGUCUGUUUAAAUGUUUUGCUGAAUUCACCAUACCUCAGGGAGUGGUCUCUGUUCCACAUGCUGCCAUGUUGGAUUCUGGUAGACCUAAAGUGGAAGAGGUAGGCAGUGAUAAAUAUGCAACAGCAGUUUGAAUAUUUAGGAUGAAUAAUCUCAGAUCAUAGACACAUUGUCUAAAAUACUUGUAAAUUGAUUCUAUUUUGUAGGGGAAAUUAGCCCUAGAGAGGAGAAUGAAACCAAACCCACAUAUACUGAGAAAUAAAGUUGAAAGAUUGGCUGUAGUGAUGAAUCAGUUGAUGCAAAACAAAAUAUACUUUGCACUUUUGCACCUCAGGGCAUGUCAGAAUGCUUAAAGGGCAGGGAAACCUACUGAAAUUGUGUUUUGCUAAAGGGACAAAUAAGAUUGUGGUACAGAAUCUAGGAGUCUAACUCCUAGUCUUAUACUUUAAACAUUAAACAAUAUUUGCUGCCUGAAACUUGCUAGCUGAUUUAUUACUCAUGUUCCUCU